Long non-coding RNA from Temnothorax curvispinosus, 1468 nucleotides. RefSeq lists it as uncharacterized. NCBI's taxonomy places the organism in Eukaryota, Metazoa, Arthropoda, Insecta, Hymenoptera, Formicidae. The transcript has 3 exons. The record is from RefSeq and is a predicted model, not a curated record.
CGCGCCACAUUCCUCGUGACAUUGUAGUAAAGUAUAGAGUGGUAUACUUAUAAAGAGAAAGUGUUGACUAUAUAUAUACUUCUACCUCGACUUCUACUUACGUCAUUAUUCAAAAAAUAAGUGGUCCAGAAUGUAAAAUUUUUCCACUAUCAGGACGACCGGCGUGCAUACACAAUAUUUGGAAUAGAAUUGCUAGAAAGACACCAAUUCUUAUUGUAAAUGAUCUGGAUUUAAUAAAGGAUGUCCCUAUCAAAGAUUUCUUCAUUUUCGGUAAUAGAGGCUCUCCCAUUUCCGAAAAGGCCGAGUCGCUGUCGCAAAAUCUUUUCGCUUUGAAACUGAAAAGAUAACGACCGCUCUGAGAAUAAAAUAAAUGUGUCACCUGUUUUUACAUCUGGUAAAUUAAAGAUGUAUAUUAGAAUGUGCUGACCACCUUGUCCAAUACAUGAAAAAAGUAGCGAGCGGAAAUGAACCUGUAGAAUGUCAUGAAUUGACGACUAAAUAUUACUACUGACGUUAUCGGUAGCUGUGCGUCGAGAUGAACGCUCUGUCUCGAACGGAGAUAAUAAAUUUCGCAAGAUGGGAAGAGUAUUCGCUCCGACUUAGACAAAUCUAUUAAUAACCAGAUUAAGGAUAAAACAAAUGUUUCCGUGGCUUUACGAAUUGUCCGCGUAAAACGGACAAACAGUUGCGCAAAUUAUCGCAAACAGUUGAGUCAUCAAAUUCUUCAUAUUUGUAAAAAUAACACACUUGAAUCGUCGUGUUGUGAGAUUUAUAUUUUUAAACGCUUUGAAAAAGUCUUUGGAAGGUAUAUAUUUAUUGAGUUUUGUUUUGUGUGGAAAGAGGAAUCAUAUUUCUCUUUUCGAUCUUCUACGAGUAAUUUUGUAAACUCUUCUUCAAAUAAUUACAUCAAGUGAUCACAUUUAGUGUCAAGCGUUUUGCGAUACCUACAGAACGGUUAAAAUGAGGGGACAAAGAUGGUUGGCAAAAUAUUAUACAUUAGAAGAAAAUUCUGAUUCAGUAAAGUGUAAUGUAAGUGUAAGUUGUGAAGAAGUUUUUUCUUAUCCCGAUCGAGAGAAAAAGUUAAAAGAUCACUUAUGCGAUAUACAUAACAUAACCAAACUAGACGCACAUCCAAAACGUGGCUUUAUACUACAGAAUUACGUAUUAGUAUCAAAAUACGAAGGAACAUGCAAUCAUUGCAACAGAAAAAUAAAAUUUAAACGGGAUAAGCCAAACAUGUUAAUAUGGCAUUUAAAAUGUACUCACCCUGAUAAAUGGCACUCUAUUAAUGCGAGAGAUGUUAAAAAAAGAGUUGACGUAUGGAACAAGUUUGACGUAAAUGGCAGGGAUGCGAAAUGCAAAACGUGUCAGAAGGUUAUAAAACAUAACAAUAUGACUUGUCAUUUACGGAGUCACUUGCGAGCUUGUGAAAAUGUGAUAAAAAGGUCGAACAUAUGGAACAAGUUUG